GGAAGUAAAAGUCGUAACAAGGUCUCCGUUGGUGAACCAGCGGAGGGAUCAUUACAGAGUUACUACUCCAAACCCAUUGUGAACCUUACCUAUGUUCUGUUGCCUCGGCGGCGUGGUCAGCGCCCCCUCUGAAAAGAGGACGAUGCCCUCCCGCCGGCAGCACCAAACUCUUUGAAUUUUACAGCGGAUUACAGUUCUGAUUUGAAAACAAAAAACAAGUUAAAACUUUCAACAACGGAUCUCUUGGUUCUGGCAUCGAUGAAGAACGCAGCGAAAUGCGAUAAGUAAUGUGAAUUGCAGAAUUCAGUGAAUCAUCGAAUCUUUGAACGCACAUUGCGCCCGGCAGUAAUCUGCCGGGCAUGCCUGUCCGAGCGUCAUUUCAACCCUCGAACCUCCGUUUCCUCAGGGAAGCUCAGGGUCGGUGUUGGGGCGCUACGGCGAGUCUUCGCGACCCUCCGUAGGCCCUGAAAUACAGUGGCGGUCCCGCCGCGGUUGCCUUCUGCGUAGUAAGUCUCUUUUGCAAGCUCGCAUUGGGUCCCGGCGGAGGCCUGCCGUCAAACCACCUAUAACUCCAGAUGGUUUGACCUCGGAUCAGGUAGGGUUACCCGCUGAACUUAAGCAUAUCAAUAAGCGGAGGA
This 638-nucleotide ribosomal RNA is filed under the name Scedosporium boydii. RNAcentral's name for it is "eukaryotic LSU rRNA". The stretch from base 224 to 377 matches the Rfam family "5.8S ribosomal RNA". Lineage: Eukaryota; Fungi; Ascomycota; Sordariomycetes; Microascales; Microascaceae. The record is from RNAcentral.